RNAcentral lists this ribosomal RNA (103 nucleotides) under Saimiri boliviensis boliviensis (Bolivian squirrel monkey). The record is from RNAcentral. Lineage: Eukaryota; Metazoa; Chordata; Mammalia; Primates; Cebidae.
AUCUACAGUUGGCCAAAAUUAAGUUAGAUGAAACUUAGAAACAAGUGGGGCCUGGUUAGUACGUGGAUGGAAGACCGCCUGGGAAUACUGGGUGCUGUAGGCG